This 449-nucleotide ribosomal RNA is filed under the name uncultured bacterium. RNAcentral describes it as "partial 16S ribosomal RNA". It matches the Rfam family "Bacterial small subunit ribosomal RNA", at positions 29 to 523 of the family's 1533-position model. The record is from RNAcentral.
AACGAACGCUGGCGGCAUGCCUAACACAUGCAAGUCGAACGAGAUCUUCGGGUCUAGUGGCGCACGGGUGCGUAACGCGUGGGAAUCUGCCCUUUGGUUCGGAAUAACAGUUGGAAACGACUGCUAAUACCGGAUGAUGACGAAAGUCCAAAGAUUUAUCGCCAGAGGAUGAGCCCGCGUAGGAUUAGCUAGUUGGUGUGGUAAAGGCGCACCAAGGCGACGAUCCUUAGCUGGUCUGAGAGGAUGAUCAGCCACACUGGGACUGAGACACGGCCCAGACUCCUACGGGAGGCAGCAGUGGGGAAUAUUGGACAAUGGGCGAAAGCCUGAUCCAGCAAUGCCGCGUGAGUGAUGAAGGCCUUAGGGUUGUAAAGCUCUUUUACCCGGGAUGAUAAUGACAGCACCGGGAGAAUAAGCUCCGGCUAGCUCCGUGCCAGCAGCCGCCGUAA